UGGGGAAUAUUGCGCAAUGGGCGAAAGCCUGACGCAGCGACGCCGCGUGAGGGAUGAAGGCCUUCGGGUUGUAAACCUCUUUCAGCAGGGAAGAAGCGCAAGUGACGGUACCUGCAGAAGAAGCACCGGCUAACUACGUGCCAGCAGCCGCGGUAAUACGUAGGGUGCAAGCGUUGUCCGGAAUUAUUGGGCGUAAAGAGCUCGUAGGCGGUCUGUCGCGUCUGCUGUGAAAACCCAGGGCUUAACCCUGGGCCUGCAGUGGGUACGGGCAGACUGAAGUUCGGUAGGGGAGACUGGAAUUCCUGGUGUAGCGGUGAAAUGCGCAGAUAUCAGGAGGAACACCGGUGGCGAAGGCGGGUCUCUGGGCCGAUACUGACGCUGAGGAGCGAAAGCGUGGGGAGCGAAC
This 406-nucleotide ribosomal RNA is filed under the name uncultured bacterium. Its description in RNAcentral is "bacterial SSU rRNA". It matches the Rfam family "Bacterial small subunit ribosomal RNA", at positions 355 to 773 of the family's 1533-position model. The record is from RNAcentral.